This 261-nucleotide long non-coding RNA is filed under the name Elaeis guineensis (African oil palm). Its description in RNAcentral is "long non-coding RNA (EGUI_LNC026657)". The record is from RNAcentral. Lineage: Eukaryota; Viridiplantae; Streptophyta; Magnoliopsida; Arecales; Arecaceae.
AUACAUAUCAAACACAUUAAUAAUCUAGCAAGUUAAUACAUAUUUCUAAAUAAAUUAAUAUAUAAUUUUUAAAAUAAUUUAUUAAUAUAAAAUAUAUAUUUAGAUGAUACAUAUUUAGCAAAUUAGUCAUAUACUUCUCUAUACAAAUUGAUAUAUAAUUUUAAGAACACCACGUUUAUCACUACGCACUAUAUGGUCAGAUAAUACAUAUUUGUUGGCUUUUUGAUAUAUAUUAUAAAUUUUUUUGAUAUACAUACAGCA